CCCCACGCGGCCGGACCGGUCACUCAUUGUCCCACUUUGCAGAUUGCCAAAAAUAAAACAGUGAAGACGUGACGAACCGUUAACGUGACCUGGACCAAGUCCCAAAUUGCGUACGCAAAAUUGUCUUAACAAUUGACACCUUUGUGGAAAGGGAGGACAGGCCCACAUGGGAUGUAUUCCAAGUUCUUAUUUUUUUUUAAUUACCAUACCAAGAACAGCACAAUGUUAUAAUUAUCUACGUGUAUGCUAAUUAUGUCAAUUGUGAUAAAUGAACAGUACAUUGGUUCUCCUGUGGCACUUGACAGUGAAAAUGAAUAAUGGAUAUUCGUACUGUGAUUAGUGAUCUUACUACUUCGUAGCUAUAAAACGAGAAAGUCACAAAGUUCCUCAUUCUCACGACUAAAUUCCUCCUAAUAGUUUGGCGGGAACCUCAUGUAAGCUUCGAGAAACAAAUGACGGGCGUUAGUGUAUAUUCUCUGUAUCAUUAUUCCAUGAAUUUAAAAAAAUGGUUUUCAAAUGUUCAUCGUUUCUAGCGUUGCAUUUCGAGCACUGCUUUUUUAAAUAGGCAAUUUAUUUACAUGGAAUAAUGCAUCAUGGUUUGCACAACAAUGUUCAUUUUUUAAAAACGCGUAAUGUUAGCUGGAAAGUGAAACCACAAUGAAAAGCUUGUGGUUUAAGAUACUAAUGAGCCCUAUACUUAAAAGUCAUCAAAGUAGUGCCAAUAUCAAUCCCGUUCAACCUUACAGACAUCAUAGAUUACCAAAUGCACACUCAGCUUAAUUCGGCGUGUGCUGAAUGUUAGUGCUCUCCAUUCAAGAAUUUGCAUAUUCUAAUUAGUUGAAACAACUAUUCAUCAAAAGGCCCAAAGCGACACGGGUCGUUAGCCUCGUUUCGUGCCAUCCCACCGUGGCAAAGACAAACAACGACGACGUCGUUCCCGGCGAUAAAUUCUGCACGAAAUUUUUUUUUUUUUUUACCCACUAUGAUGCAAGGAAGGCAGCCUUCAGACAGCAGAAUCCAACGUCGUCAUCAAUCGCCAUUUGCAAAAUAUUGAAAUGCCAGAUUUUUUGCAGCUAAUGCCCAACAAAAGAGUUUAUUUUUGAAAACAUUUGAAAACUAAAAGAAAAUAAUGUUUCAUCCAAGAAAACGCCCCCAACGAUUCAACUGCCCUCUUUAGGGGAAAAUAAAUCAGUCAAAUGCAACGGUUCUCAUCGUUCACACGACGCUAAACUGCCUAAACGCCUCUUGCCGUACAAUGUUGGAGCAAGGAAUCUGUUGUUGGCGGCUGUAAUUCAAUACGCAUCUGCGGAGCAGUCAUCAGCAGAAAACAAGGCCCUCUACACACAUGGUAUAGCUCUACAUAUAACGGUUAGAUAUCCCUAUAUACAUUUGUGCAUAUACUAAUAAGAAAUUCUAUGUACGGAAUGGUCUAUUAGCUCUGGUUGCCAAGCCAUGCCAGAAAAAGUGUGUUUCUUUCUUUUUCUCCCUCUAGUUACUUUUGUACCAAUUUGGUCUGAACUGGAAUAAAAGAAGAAGGAAAAAGAAAUCUACAGUCAACAGCAGGAGGAGUUUGAGAUUGAAGAUGUAGUCUAUACCAUCAGUCUUUGUCGCCAUUUUGUAAUAGCUCCCGACAGUCCUCUUUUGUGUUCUUAACUGAAUGGGGCAGACUGUCUCAUCCGCCAUUGUUUUCUUGGCUACAACUGGACUCGUCUAUAACCUCCUUUUUUUUACAGUUGAAUGGUUCAACUCGACAAGUCUAUUUAUUGAUGCAAUUAUCGAUAUGAGCGCCGCUUGCCAUUCUGCCUUUCUCUGUUUAGUCUAUUGCGUGUAAGUUCUCUACUUCUCCGCUGCCAGAAUGCAUUGAAUUGGGCCAACGAAUCUGCUCGUGAUUUAUCGACGGCGACAAUAAUCAGACGACACUGGCCUGCGCGUAUAUUUCCAUUCCAAAGUGGCCAGCAAGAACCAUUAACGCCGUCGGGCUCUAAAAUUUGCAUGUGGCGAACUGAGUAUAUAUUUAAUGUCGCCACUCGGAACGCUCCACCUUCGAGUAUAAUCCAGCUCCAUCCGCAAAAACAGCCGUUGGGCGAAAGGUCCAUUUACAGUCUAAAAGCGUCCUCGAGGAAUUUUCGUUUCUAAACGCAUCAUAAAUGGCUGCUCGAUGUUUAUAUCUUUGAUAAGCUUCGUUUGAAGCCUUUUGUUUUCACGAUGACUCUCACGUUCUCCUGCCUAGAGGUUUUCGUCACCAUUAUCGGCCCAAGCACGUCGACGUGUUAUUUAUUAUUCAUUACUAUUAUAUAUAAAAAGGAUUAUAGAUCCCUCGUGGUUGUCUGCAAAGAAGACGUAGCCCCCAUCAAUCAUGGCUUGAUAUUAUAAAAAUAAAAAAGAGUACAAAGGGGAGAACAAUGUCAAACGACCUGCGCCGUUAUGUCAUUGUGUAAUGGUCUUCGUUUGUCGCCACGCACGGACGUGACGUCAUGCAAACAUUUAAAACACAUUGUAACCUGUGCUGUUUUAUAUCCGAACAUUUAAAAAAAAGAAUCGUGAAUUGCGCAUCAGAUCGAACUAACAAAAAAUUUUACCUUGUCAAGUUAUCGCACAAAUUUCACUAAUGUCAAGAUUUACAUGUCGUCAGGUAUGCAUAAUUUCGUGUCUUCCCUGAUCUAAUUUGCAAUUCAAGUGUCCUACAUCUCAACUGUUGAAAAUUCGAGUUGAUAGAGAAAAGCGAACGUAACUCUAUCAGCGCCCUGCACGCCAUCUCUAGGAUCUGCAAAGAAUAUCCAAUUCAAGAUUAUCGGGUGCAUAAUGCGUGUAUAAACUGACGCCUUUCGGUGUCUUUCGAAAACAAAAAGAUAAAAAAAAAUAUAUAUUUAUUCCUUUUUCUUUAUAAAUAUAAUAGCCUUUAUAUAUAA
This 2909-nucleotide long non-coding RNA is filed under the name Daphnia magna. RNAcentral's name for it is "uncharacterized LOC116921171, transcript variant X1". Lineage: Eukaryota; Metazoa; Arthropoda; Branchiopoda; Diplostraca; Daphniidae. The record is from RNAcentral.